This 74-nucleotide transfer RNA is filed under the name Methanosarcinales archaeon. RNAcentral's name for it is "tRNA-Lys". It matches the Rfam family "tRNA". Rfam says of the family: Transfer RNA (tRNA) molecules are approximately 80 nucleotides in length. Their secondary structure includes four short double-helical elements and three loops (D, anti-codon, and T loops). The record is from RNAcentral. RNAcentral also lists the same sequence under 1 other name. Lineage: Archaea; Methanobacteriati; Methanobacteriota; Methanomicrobia; Methanosarcinales.
GGGCUGGUAGCUCAGCCAGGCAGAGCGAUUGGCUCUUAACCAAUUGGUCGGGGGUUCAAAUCCCUCCCAGCCCG